This 245-nucleotide ribosomal RNA is filed under the name uncultured bacterium. Its description in RNAcentral is "partial 16S ribosomal RNA". It matches the Rfam family "Bacterial small subunit ribosomal RNA", at positions 524 to 768 of the family's 1533-position model. The record is from RNAcentral.
UACGAAGGAUGCGAGCGUUAUCCGGAUUUAUUGGGUUUAAAGGGAGCGUAGGCGGUCUUAUAAGUCAGUGGUGAAAUCUUAUCGCUUAACGAUAAACGUGCCAUUGAUACUGUAGGACUUGAGUACAGAUGCCGUUGGCGGAAUGUGUCAUGUAGCGGUGAAAUGCAUAGAUAUGACACAGAACACCGAUUGCGAAGGCAGCUGACGAAACUGUAACUGACGCUGAGGCUCGAAAGCGUGGGGAU